UUAAAUUUUUUAUUAUCUUUCGAAAGCGGUUUUAGAAGUAAGGCCAAAUAUAUAUAUAUAGAGAGAAGGACUGCUGUGCACGGAGGCCUCUGUGCUCUUGAGCUGUUUUCGAUGAUGAAAUUUUCGAAUCAACAAUCGUCUCCAUUAGAUUUUGCGAUUUUUUGAUAUCAUAUAUCUAGCAAUCGAAAGGAUUCAAAAUCAAUAAUUUUUAACGGCUGAAAAUAAAAAUUCUAUAAAAAAUGGUGAUAUAGUACUAAAAUUUUCGAUCAGAAAUAUUGAUCUUAUUGUAGAUAGUAUAAAGAAUUUUGUAUCAAAAUUUCAUCUGAUUUGAAUACUUCUACACCGUUAAACUUGAAAACGGCAGAUAUCGACCAUUAAAAAUUAUUGAUUUUGUAUCCUUUCGAUCACUAGAUAAAUAAUAUAAAAAAAUCGCAAAAAAUAUUUUCUAAAAACUUC
Molecule: long non-coding RNA, 456 nt
Filed under: Ananas comosus (pineapple)
Lineage: Eukaryota; Viridiplantae; Streptophyta; Magnoliopsida; Poales; Bromeliaceae
Description: long non-coding RNA (ACOM_LNC022754)
Source: RNAcentral